CAGCCUCGCUCUCACACAGGAGAUCACAAUGCUUAGCUCGGGGAUUGCUGAGGUAUUUUCCAUAAGAGCAGGAACAAUCUCGGGACCCCUAGGGAUAUGAACAAGCCCUUCAAAUUCGGGAUGUAACCUCUGCAUGUCUCUUUUUACGCAUAAGACAAUCCUCCUUGCUUUUUUUUCCUACUGAGAAAGCCCUGUCUUACCAGCCCCGGAGGACAAUGGUGGAUUUGAAACCAAUGGCUGUGCAUGCUGAUACCUGUUCGUCCUUUCAGAAGGCUUUGUAUGGCUAGCGCCACAUAGCCAGGCCUGGAGCUCUUUCUUAUGCAAGGGAAAAAACAGAAAGCAGAACAUGCUGGGAAAAUGAAUAGCCGAGGGACAAAGUGGUCUGCAGAUGUGGCUCCAUGCUCCCUUCAGCAAACUAUUUACCUCUUAAUUUGUUAAAAACCAUAUGAGCUUACCUGUGACUUUUGCCUGAGCGACAUUUGUCAAUACUAUAUGGCCAUUUGCUUUGACUUAGUUUUCCCCCAUUGAUGUUGAACAAAUGUUUGCUUCCUUCCAGAAGUUUCCCUGUCUCCCUGGCUGCUACCUUCCUCUGUUCCCUGUCCUACACACAUGGUUGCUUCUCUUCUCCAGCAAACAGUACAGAGAGCCCCUGAGCCCCAGAGCAUGGCCUCCCUUUGGUGUUCUUAGCCAGUUCUGGUAAUACCACAUCUCUGUCUUCACCACUACCUAGGGAGAUCCCAGAUUAUAGUGCUCCCCAGAAAGCUGUGCUCACUGGCUUCUGCUCCCUGCCCAGUCUCACCAGGUAGCUGGAAACAUCUCCUCUAAGCAAUCUCCACACAUGCCAUGGAUUCUUCUCUGUUCUGUCCUGAGAUCUCCUGGACUUUAAUUCAAGAAGCCAUCAACAUAUUCCUGCUGUCUAUCCAAUCUGCUCCUCAAUACUGGGAGUUCAGCAGAGAACAGAGAAGAGAACAUCCCAGAAAUAUGCAUCUGUCUUCACUUUUCUUACCAGUGAACUUACUCCAUUCCCACCCCGGGCCAGUCCUCUUCAGAUGAUCCCAUGUGGCUUCAACAUAAUCCCUGACCAGGUGAAGUCUAUGUAAUUAUUAUUUAAUUCUGGAAACUUGUUUUUUUUAAUCAUGGUUUAUAGCAUGUAUUAUUAAGUACCAGUGGCUUUGUGCUGAAGUUGUGCUAGGUUGUG
Molecule: long non-coding RNA, 1198 nt
Organism: Mus musculus (house mouse)
Lineage: Eukaryota; Metazoa; Chordata; Mammalia; Rodentia; Muridae
Product: predicted gene, 36737
Exons: 4
Source: RefSeq, a predicted model, not a curated record